RNAcentral lists this long non-coding RNA (1573 nucleotides) under Betta splendens (Siamese fighting fish). Its description in RNAcentral is "lncRNA (ENSBSLG00000014287.1)". Lineage: Eukaryota; Metazoa; Chordata; Actinopteri; Anabantiformes; Osphronemidae. The record is from RNAcentral.
AAUAAGUCGAAAAAGACAGACGAGCUCGAGCGAUGAGAAGAAAGGCCCUGAGUGCAAUGGAGUGGGUGGCGAAUUCGGCAGAUUAGAGGUUGAAAAUUAGAUAAAAAAACAAGAUCAACAAUUUGAGACGAAGAAAGAAAACAGGAGCUUGAUUAAUGACCUCUAACUGAAGGGGAAAGAGAUGCUCUGCUGCUUGCCAGUCUUCGUCUAAUGAAUGCUCUCGUGCACACAAAGCCAGCGUCUCAUUAUCCGCCUGGAUCUGGAUGCGCCGUCGGAGUGACCACGGAGAGAGUGGAGCCAGAGAAUGGGCCGCGGGCAAAGGUUCCAGGCAGCGGUGGGAGUCCACGCGACGCAUGGACGUACGCUGACACAGUAUACGGCCCGGUUGUUUACGCGGCUUUUGAUUGGCAGUUUAAGGGCUAAUUACAAAGGCGCGCACAGUUUACAGCUCGAAUAAUUUCACUUUUAAAUUCACUGUCAGUUUUGUCGCUAUGGCAACGCAUAACACAUUAACACGGCGAUAAUUAAGCCGUUUGAACUUCCUCCUGCUCCAGUCUGUUCCUGCCAUUGGCGUCUUCUUAGCAACUGAUGCAGAUGAUCCGCGCCACCAUGUAAAACAUUUUGUUAGCUCCACGUUCCAUUGUCUGCGUCCGGCGACGUGACGUCACCAGAGGCCGCCGUCGGUGCGAUGCCCGGUCGUCGUCUUGCGGUGUGGAAGCCUGUCCAUGCCCGUCCUGCUACUGGAGUAAGAACCACGACACCCAACUGAUCCUCGGUGGGGCUCAUUGUCCAAGUUGCCCUCCCAGAAACAGUAAACGCUCCUAUCCAGAUGUUUUAUUUUCUAAUAUUAGCCUUCUGUGUUCUUGUAGGUAAUUCUGAGGCUCCGUCUAUUGACAGGAAGCAUCAGAUGCAGCGUAUUGACUCCUGUUAUCUUUCUUUUCUUUGGAACAGGCCACUCAACUGCUCACAGUUUACUCACACAAUGUCUUUGGACACGACCAGACUUCAAGGCUGUGCCUCAGUGUGGCUUUAUGUUUUAUCUUUUAGCAGGGUGUUUGUUCCACCAUUGCACUGGACCAGACGUUACUAAAUGUGCUGGCGCCCCUUUUUAGCCCGGCCACGUUUCUGUACUGUACGCGACUGGCAGCUCGGGUUCAACCCCCCCCCUCAGCGCUGAUCCAGGCUCCCUAACGGUAAGACAUGCAACCAAUUUUAUUCUUACUGUAGAUUAAAUACUUCUCCUCCUCUUCACGACAAGUUUAACCUUUACAGUAUCUGCCUACCGGCCUCACCAUCCUUCCUACUUGAACCUUCUGUUUCCACAUCAUUUGACGUUCUCCUCUGCUCGUGCUCUUAUUACCAAAGCUGCUGGAGGAGCCACAAAUUAAGUCUGGGCAUGUACUGUAAAUGUGUUUUGCUAUUAAUUUUGGAGAAGCAGUAAUUGAAAUGAGGCCUGUUUAACAAAGUUUGGUAUGUUCUCAGUGGGUGGGAAACAUAUCACUUACUGUAGCUGCCUGGUCACAUACAGAUUUGUAAAAGUAGUUUUCGAGUGCAGUAAAUCCAAGCACAUGAG